UCCCUGGUGGCUCAGACGGUAAAGCGUCUGCCUACAAUGCGGGAGAGCCAGGUUCAAUCCCUGGGUCGGGAG
Bos taurus (domestic cattle) is the source of this 72-nucleotide non-coding RNA. The record is from Rfam. NCBI's taxonomy places the organism in Eukaryota, Metazoa, Chordata, Mammalia, Artiodactyla, Bovidae.